Molecule: RNA transcript, 2528 nt
Organism: Lagopus leucura (white-tailed ptarmigan)
Lineage: Eukaryota; Metazoa; Chordata; Aves; Galliformes; Phasianidae
Gene: TECR
Gene name: trans-2,3-enoyl-CoA reductase
Exons: 14
Source: RefSeq, a predicted model, not a curated record
GACGGCGCCGCGGCGGCGCGCAGGAUGGGCGGCAGGGCCGGCUUCUUCGAGGUGGAAAUCCUUGACUGGAAGACAAAGGAACAAUUAUGCUUCUUAGAUAAGGUGGAACCAAAUGCUACAAUUAGGGAGAUAAGAUCAAUGUUCCAUAAAUUAUAUCCCCAGUGGUAUCCAGCAAGACAGUCAAUAAAACUUGAUCCAAAAGGAAAGUCCCUGAGGAAUGAGGAAAUCCUGCAGCACCUCCCUGUUGGCACAACUGCUACUUUAUACUUUAAAGAUUUAGGGCCACAGAUAGGAUGGACUACGGUAUUUUUGAUAGAAUAUACAGGUCCAUUGUUCAUCUAUUUUCUGUUUUAUUUCCGCAUGCCUUUUGUGUAUGGACUGGAUGAGAGGUUUACAUCAAGCCCACAUCCAGUAGUUAACUUGGCAUGUAUCUGCCAUUCUUUCCACUACAUCAAAAGGUUGAUUGAAACAAUAUUUGUUCAUCGGUUCUCCCAUGGGACUAUGCCACUGAGGAAUAUUGUGAAGAACUGUUUAUAUUACUGGGGAUUUGCAGCUUGGCUUGCUUAUUACAUCAAUCAUCCUCUUUACACUCCUCCUUCUUAUGGGAAAAAACAGAUUAAUUUUGCUGUGAUCAUGUUUCUGCUAUGUGAAGCUGGAAAUUUUUCCAUUCAUGUUGCACUUAGCGACCUCCGGAGAGAUGGGUCCAAAACUCGUAAGAUCCCGUAUCCAACAAAGAAUCCUUUCACAUGGCUGUUUUUCUUUGUAUCUUGCCCUAACUAUACCUAUGAGGUGGGGACAUGGAUCAGUUUCACUAUCAUGACUCAAUGUGUUCCAGCAUUCUUACAGCUCAUCCACAGAUUUCACAACACAGUGCUGAAGGUGUGAAGUGCUGGUGUGGUCUCUUUCAGUGUCAUGUAACAGGAAAGGAGCUGCUGAGUCAUUCAGACUAUGAGUUAACCCUGGACACAAGGUUAAUUUCGGAAACAAUACCAUCCAAAUCCACAGCUGAAACACAUUCUGAACAAGUCAACUUACACUGGAUUCACUUAUUUCAUUCUUCUCAAAAUAGUACCUUGGUCAAUUCCUGUAAUUCUAAGAUAUUUGUUUUGUUCCCCCCAUUCAGAAUUCUUUUUCUUUCUUCUGCAACAUCCUCAUCUUCACCAACAAUAGGCGACUUGUCAAUCUCGACAAACCUGGAAAAGUAAGAAUCGAUUAUGAAGAAACAAUGAGUUGAUCUGAGUAUAGCUACGAUAGCAGUGUGAAACAAGAGCUAGUCAGUUGGCAAAAUUCCGUCUGGUGAGAGCAGUGAGAUUGAAAUGUCAUAUUGUAACAUUCACUGGAGAAUUCCUGCUGCUGGGGCAAUGCCUGGCCUUUGAAAGUUAAGCCCUUAAUACUAAAAAGGGAUGGAAUUGCUUGUUCAAAUGAGAAUAGCAUUGCCAGUCACUGAUAUGACAUAACCUGCCUCUAAGCCAUCGCUUUUUCUAUUUGACAGCUCUUCAGUACUAACUAAUAGAUUUUACAUGUAUCUUUUGAGUAGACUUCCUUGUAAGACAGUAUUUUCAGAAUUAUAACUAGUACUCCUAUUGGGAAUCCCCAACAGCAGUGAAUAAUCAACACAUACUUGGCAGGCAGCUAUUUUCAUUCAAACAGAAGCAGCUUUGUAAAGCAGAUAGGGGAAGCUUGAAUAGUACCCUGACUGUGACUGUUCUUGCAAUAGGCUAGAAUUCCAGUCUUGGUAUGUCAGGCUAGUAAUGCCAGUGAUUAGGAAACUACAAGCUUUCCAAGUAAUUGUGUAAUCUCACCAUUAGAAUCAUGAAAUUCACACUGAAGUCUUAGUUCAAGAAAACGUAUUUAUUUAGUAAGCUGUAUAAAUAUACUCUUAUUUCUGUUAAAACAAUGCAGAAAAAGAAGCAUAGAUAAAGCAAGACAAAUAGCAAAUAUUAACAAAUAAGAUGAAAUCAGAUGAAUCAACAGAAUAAAGCUAUAGAAGCUGUAAAAAAAAUUAGAGGAAAAGAAAGCAGAAGACAAAAGAAGCAUAGAGAACAACGAAGGUGCUCAUCCUGCUAAUGAAGAAACAUUAACACAAACUUUCAGACAUACCAUCUUGAGGGGAAUAAUUGGUGCUGCAUAAGGAGAUUCAGAAAGAAGAAUGCAAUUCCUUGAACCGCCAUGGCAACCAGGUUCUUCCCAACAAAGUCCCACUGAAAAGGAUUGGAAACAUGCUCCUCACCUUUGGAGAGGUGAAGUACCAGAAAGCAAUUAAAUACUGCUGAAAAAGCAUUGCUCAUCAGAACAGAAGGUGUGAACACAUUAAUUUAGGAAGGAAAUCUAAUUUUUAAUCACUAUCAGUCGAAGUCUACCAUUUUUUCAUUGCAUCAAUAAAUACAGAUUCUUAAGAAACCACUGCUACAUGGGAGUAAAAAUGAACAUACGCUCUCUGAGUAUAUAUGAAUACACAUGUAUUACAUAAUGCGAAAUCUGCAUGGAUUACAUGAAAAAUAUUUUUUGGGUGGGGAAAAAAAUUGCUG